Molecule: ribosomal RNA, 325 nt
Filed under: uncultured eukaryote
Lineage: Eukaryota
Description: partial 18S ribosomal RNA
Rfam family: Eukaryotic small subunit ribosomal RNA
Source: RNAcentral
CCCUUAGAUGUUCUGGGCCGCACGCGCGCUACACUGAUGCAUUCAACGAGUCUAAAACCUGCUCUGAUAGGGGUGGGUAAUCUUUUGAAUGUGCAUCGUGAUUGGGAUAGAUGAUUGCAAUUUUUCAUCUUCAACGAGGAAUGCCUAGUAAACGCAAGUCAUCAGCUUGCAUUGAAUACGUCCCUGCCCUUUGUACACACCGCCCGUCGCUCCUACCGAUCGAAGAGUUAGGUGAAUUGUUUUGAUCGAUAAGAUUUGACUAUGGUCAACUCUCGUUGUGAAAUUCUGUGAAUCUGACUGUUUAGAGGAAGGAAAAGUCGUAACA